GUUCAGACAGUGCCUCCGCCUCCUUCAUCUCCGCCGCUAGCUCGGACUCAUGAUUCCUAUAUGCCCAGUAGUUUCAUUUACCUAUGUACCCAGCCGCCUGGGAGAAGAUGCUAAAAUGGCUACCGGCAACUACUUUGGAUUCACCCAUAGCGGGGCUGCUGCUCAAUAUAGAUUGUCUCCUCCAUCUUGCUGGGUGAGGGAGGAGUGAGUAAAAGGCUGCAUAGUACUUCACUGCCUGCUGGCUUAAACCACAACAGUGGCUCACAUAGGUCUGCAUUAGCAACAUAAGGAUGGAUUAUUUCUGGUUCGGUGGGUUUGUGACACCUCAGGCCUUCAAGGAAUAGAUGCAACAUAUAGAUGGGCUUGGGAUUGAGGGAGGGGUGGACGCUACUGCACACACUACCUAUGAAUGUGGAAUGUGCUGCAAUUGAGUAAGCCAAAGGGAUAAAGCCCAUUUGGUAUGGAGGUCAGUGGCUGAAAUAUAAAUAUAUAGAUAUCUAGCAGGUUGAUUAUCUCAACAUUGCCACAAACUUGCCGUGGCAAGCACCAUGCACUUACAGUGGCAGAAGCAACCACCAGAUGGCUGGAAAGCUAUCCCAUGUCACUACCUAGGAUGCUAUCCUGGGCCUUGAAAAGCAAGUCUUAUGGUGACAUGGUGACCCAGAAAGAACUGAGUCAGAUAACGGGACUCAUUUCCAAAACAACCUCAUAAGCAUGUGGGACCUGAGUGUGAUGUAAAUUAUAUGGAAUAAGGAGUGGAUAUUGUCCUGGUUACAACUGAGACAGAGUUGAUUUUUUACUUCAUAGUAUCUGGUAUGAUGCUGCGUUUUGGCUUUAGGAGAAAAACAACAUUGAUAUCAGCUCACAUCUA
This is a long non-coding RNA of Centrocercus urophasianus (Greater sage-grouse), 871 nucleotides long. RefSeq lists it as uncharacterized. Lineage: Eukaryota; Metazoa; Chordata; Aves; Galliformes; Phasianidae. The transcript has 3 exons. The record is from RefSeq and is a predicted model, not a curated record.